This 253-nucleotide ribosomal RNA is filed under the name uncultured bacterium. RNAcentral describes it as "partial 16S ribosomal RNA". It matches the Rfam family "Bacterial small subunit ribosomal RNA", at positions 524 to 776 of the family's 1533-position model. The record is from RNAcentral.
UACGAAGGGUGCAAGCGUUACUCGGAAUUACUGGGCGUAAAGCGUGCGUAGGUGGUGAGUUAAGUCUGUCGUGAAAGCCCCGGGCUCAACCUGGGAAUGGCGAUGGAUACUGGCUCGCUAGAGUGCGGUAGAGGAGAGUGGAAUUCCCGGUGUAGCAGUGAAAUGCGUAGAGAUCGGGAGGAACAUCAGUUGCGAAGGCAGCUUGCUAGCCUGUAACUGACGCUGAGGCACGAAAGUGUGGGGAUCAAACAGG